UACGUAGGGGGGCAAGCGUUGUCCGGAUUUAUUGGGCGUAAAGAGCGUGUAGGCGGCCAGGUAGGUCAGCUGUGAAAACUCGAGGCUCAACCUCGAGACGUCGGUUGAAACCAUCUGGCUAGAGUCCGGAAGAGGAGAGUGGAAUUCCUGGUGUAGCGGUGAAAUGCGCAGAUAUCAGGAGGAACACCAAUAGCGAAGGCAGCUCGCUGGGACGUGACUGACGCUGAGACGCGAAAGCGUGGGAGCAAACAGG
RNAcentral lists this ribosomal RNA (253 nucleotides) under uncultured bacterium. Its description in RNAcentral is "partial 16S ribosomal RNA". It matches the Rfam family "Bacterial small subunit ribosomal RNA", at positions 524 to 776 of the family's 1533-position model. The record is from RNAcentral.